Misgurnus anguillicaudatus (oriental weatherfish) is the source of this 3098-nucleotide non-coding RNA. The record is from RefSeq and is a predicted model, not a curated record. Lineage: Eukaryota; Metazoa; Chordata; Actinopteri; Cypriniformes; Cobitidae.
GGGGAAUGAACCAUUAUAACAGGGAGUUAUGUGGCAAGAUGAAGUGAGGGGGAGCAUUGGAGCUGAGAAACGGAAAGAAUCAUCCGACAGGGAACGCUGGUGGAAUGAUGGGGAACCUGAAGGCAAAGGCAAAACAAGAGAAUCCUUUUGUCCACUACAUCGUGUUUGCUGAAGGACCAUGUCUGCCCAGCAACAGUGUGGUUUAGGGGACAUCCAAUGCCCUUGUAUCCCAUCCGCUUGCAAAUUAAGAGCUGUCACGUUUCAAACGUUUCCCCCCGGACUCGUGUUUAUCACCGCGACUCUCGCUCAUCCGCCGGGCCGCUCUCCAGUGCUGAAACACCGGGCGCAGCUGUCGCUCCGUCCCCUGUCCUAAUGAAGGAGGCCGACGCUAUCAAGCUCUUCAUUGGCCAGAUCCCACGGAAUCUGGAGGAGAAGGACCUGAAGCCCAUCUUCGAGCAGUUUGGGAAGAUCUACGAGCUCACGGUGAUCAAGGACAAGUACACGGGGAUGCACAAAGGUUGUGCAUUUCUGACGUACUGUGCGAGAGAGUCAGCCUUGAAGGCCCAGAAUGCAUUGCACGAGCAGAAGACAUUGCCAGGGAUGAACCGCCCCAUUCAAGUAAAGCCAGCGGACAGUGAGGGACGAGGAGACAGGAAGCUGUUCGUGGGCAUGUUGGGGAAGCAGCUGUCAGACACUGAUGUCAGAAAGAUGUUCGAACCUUUUGGGAGUAUAGAAGAGUGCACAGUGCUCAGAGGGCCUGACGGAGCAAGCAAAGGUUGCGCGUUCGUAAAAUAUCAGAAUAACGCAGAGGCACAGGCGGCCAUUAGCGCGCUACAUGGAAGUCGCACUCUUCCGGGUGCUUCCUCUAGUCUGGUGGUUAAGUUUGCCGAUACAGAAAAGGAGAGAGGAAUCAGGCGCAUGCAGCAGGUGGCCUCGCAGCUGGGUGUCAUCAGUCCCAUGAGUCUACACCUGGGCGCCUACAACGCUUACACACAAGCACUUGUCCAGCAGCAGGCAUUGGUGGCUCAAUCUGCAUAUCUGUCGCCCGUGGCGACGGUUGCUGCGGUGCAGAUGCAACAAUUGGCUGCCCUCAAUCCCAACAGCAUCAUAGCAACGCCCAUCGCCUCAAUCACACCGUCCUCAGGUACGAGCACCCCGCCAACAAUGGCUGCCACGCCUGUGUCUGCUCUUCCUCCACCUAUCGCAGUCAACAGUUACACCCCAGUCCCUGCACCGCCCAAUGGCCAGUCUGCCUCUGAAGCCCUUUACACCAAUGGUGUCCACCCAUAUCAGGUCGUUUGUUUUAAUUCUUUAGCUCAGAGCCCUGCGUUGGAUCCACUUCAGCAGGCGUAUACAGGCAUGCAACACUACACGGCUACAUAUCCUGCUGCUUACGGAUUGGUCGGUCAGCUAUUUCCUCAUCAGCCCACCUUGGUUGCCCAGCAACCCCAGCAGCCACAGCAGUUGCAACAACGGGAAGGUCCUGAAGGGUGCAAUAUCUUUAUUUAUCAUCUGCCUCAAGAGUUCACAGACUCAGAGAUGCUCCAGAUGUUUCUACCCUUCGGUAACGUCAUCUCAGCUAAGGUCUUUGUCGACCGAGCCACUAACCAGAGCAAAUGCUUUGGAUUUGUGAGCUUCGACAACCCGGCAAGCGCCCAGGCGGCCAUCCAGGCCAUGAACGGCUUUCAAAUCGGCAUGAAGAGGCUUAAAGUUCAGCUGAAGAGGCCUAAAGAUGCUAACCGUCCAUAUUGAGAAGAACAGGCUGCCCUGUCCAAUCAUAACUCGGGUGGAGACAACGUCGCUAUGGCUACGGUGGCCUAGCAACCAAUAAAGCUCCCCCUUCCUCCCACAGCGUUGGUUUGCAAGAAAGGAGAAGUCAAAUGAAGUUACUUGCGAGUCACUUUUCCUCCACUGCAAAUUAUGGGACCAACAACUUUCGCAAAACUGCAGUAUAAAAAAGCCUUCCAAGAUUAUUUAAAUGAAAAAUAUACAUUUAAUAGAGACAGACUUAUCGCACAAGGUGCAGGUUAAAUGUAAAAAAAAAAAAUUGUACUACCUUAACAGUAUACGAUAUAGGACCAAUAAUUUUCUGCGCAAGUUGGAUAUUCUGCACAGCCAGCCGGUAAACGCUAGUUAAAGCGCCAGCGACGCAAUGCCACUCGCUCUACUGCUUCACACACUAUUGUGCCGUGUGCUCGUGGCUCUUGUGACCUUUCUGCCCGGAGCCCACACAUCAACGCCCUGCACACACAAAGGGGACCAACCAACACAAAUAUGUCAGUACUACACAACUUUUGUUUCGGGGUACAAAAAAAUGAUGUGCGCUACUUACAGACUAUUCAAAGUCUUUUUUUGCAGCAAUCUCAAAUGUGUACAUAGAAUUUCAAGGGGACCAUGUGUAGACAUAUCGAAACGGUUGGGAGGGUGGGACUGGUGGGUCAAUGUGAUCGGAGCAAAGAAUCAUGGGUAUGAUAGCUAGAGAAAGAUUUGUGAAGACACUGCUCUUGGUCUCUAAUCUGAGUCCAGUUAUAAAUAGUUCAUCUUUAUUACUUAUGAAAACGAAAGAUCUGUGAUAUUGGAUAAUGGGCCUAUAUUGCAAAUCUCCCUAAAAUAAGUGGAUAUAGUUUAUUGCAGAAAGACUGUAGUUAGCCUUUUUUUAUUUUUAGGUUUGUUAGGUUUUUUCUUUUUGUUGUUUUUAAUUGUGGAUGAUUCGAAAAGAUUCAUGAAAGUUAAAAAUGUAUUUCAUUGUAUAUAUCAUGCUUUUAAAAUGAAGGUCAAGAUUUAAACAUUCGGGAUAUUAUUGUUAUUAUUAUUAUUAAUUAUAAUUAUUAUUACUAUUAUUAUUAUUAUUUAGGGAAGGUGAUUUCUAUUUUUUUUUAUUUAUUUAUCAAUUUCUUGAUGGAGAGCAUUUUUUAAAUUAUUUAUGAUAAGAUAGAGGAUCGUUGGCUCAUGUGCCGAUGAAUCCAUGUAUUUUUAGACAUUUUAUUUACAGAAUUACCAUUAAUGAACAAUCAUUAUUAUUCUAUUUAUUUUCUUCAAUUGUUGUUUCACAACCUGUCAAUUACAAAAAAUUUGAAUAAAAUUUUAAACAAUAUUUA